RNAcentral lists this ribosomal RNA (700 nucleotides) under uncultured Achromobacter sp. RNAcentral describes it as "bacterial SSU rRNA". It matches the Rfam family "Bacterial small subunit ribosomal RNA", at positions 845 to 1533 of the family's 1533-position model. The record is from RNAcentral. Lineage: Bacteria; Pseudomonadati; Pseudomonadota; Betaproteobacteria; Burkholderiales; Alcaligenaceae.
AGCGCAGCUAACGCGUGAAGUUGACCGCCUGGGGAGUACGUUCGCAAGAUUAAAACUCAAAGGAAUUGACGGGGACCCGCACAAGCGGUGGAUGAUGUGGAUUAAUUCGAUGCAACGCGAAAAACCUUACCUACCCUUGACAUGUCUGGAAUCCUGAAGAGAUUUAGGAGUGCUCGCAAGAGAACCGGAACACAGGUGCUGCAUGGCUGUCGUCAGCUCGUGUCGUGAGAUGUUGGGUUAAGUCCCGCAACGAGCGCAACCCUUGUCAUUAGUUGCUACGAAAGGGCACUCUAAUGAGACUGCCGGUGACAAACCGGAGGAAGGUGGGGAUGACGUCAAGUCCUCAUGGCCCUUAUGGGUAGGGCUUCACACGUCAUACAAUGGUCGGGACAGAGGGUCGCCAACCCGCGAGGGGGAGCCAAUCCCAGAAACCCGAUCGUAGUCCGGAUCGCGGUCUGCAACUCGACUGCGUGAAGUCGGAAUCGCUAGUAAUCGUGAAUCAGAAUGUCACGGUGAAUACGUUCCCGGGCCUUGUACACACCGCCCGUCACACCAUGGGAGUGGGUUGCUCCAGAAGUAGCUAGUCUAACCGCAAGGGGGACGGUUACCACGGAGUGAUUCAUGACUGGGGUGAAGUCGUAACAAGGUAGCCGUAGGGGAACCUGCGGCUGGAUCACCUCCUUAAGCUUGGAUCCCGGGC